CUAAAAUAGAAUUUAACAAAUGUAUCAGGCUGGGUAUACCAUGAACUUGCAAGUGUGAGUUGUUGCUGUGAUGGUAUGCCCCUUUGAGUGGGGCUUUUGAAACUUUGGAGAGUAAUCAUCGUAGUGGUUUCUAUCAUAGCUUUGGCAAAACUGUGAUCCAGUUUAAUGAAAUGCUGCUCAAGAUAUGGUGGAUAAAAAUGUUUGCAGUACCCUUUGUCAUUUUGCAAAAUAAGGGGUACUUUGUAGUCUAAAGCAUUCCUUAAACCCUCUGAGGGAGAAUAAAUAACUGCAAAGUACGGGAAGAAAGUCAGUUAUGGUUUGAAGUGAACACAUUAAGAGGUUAAAAACAAAGAAUUGGGAUGGAUGACUGGGAAGACAGCAAGAAUUAAGGAUGAAGUUAACGGAAAAAGCUGAUAAUUACUUUGUGGUGCCUAUUAGUGGGAGAAAGAAACAGGACCUGGUCUGCAUAAAUAAAACUCAGAGGUAUCAUGUUGGAUUCAGUCUCUAGAUGGCUGGAGAAACCUUGAGCUGACCGGAAGCAGCAGUGGAGACUUCCACUGGCAACCUUGUUGAUUUUCUACCACAUUGGCUGGGAGGUUACUCAGGAGUCAGAGCUUCUAUGAGCUGCUGUUGCAGUCAUGUCUUGCUAUGUGAAUGAUCCCAGAGCCAGUCGCUCCUCACUUCUGGGUGGCUGGUGCUGCUGGUCCUUACCACUUGGGGAACCAGUUGGGCCAUGUCAUGAGAAGGUGUGGGUGUUCCUGUUUCCAAGGAAGUCCUUGUAGGAAGACUGUGCUAGACCAGAGAUACAGAAAAAAGUACAGAAAGUGAACAUCUCUUAGUGGAUUACCUGUAGAUGGUGUUCUUUUAUAUGUUGCUGUUGUCCCUUACCAAAUAAUUAAUUAUGGAAUGCUAAUGCUAUGUGAGCUGGAGUUAUUCAGCCCUAGAACUACUGCAAGUCUCUCCCAUUCCUAUGAUUUUAUGAGGUUUGUCUAAAUACAGAGAAGAAAAGACUGAAGUUUCAAGUAUUACAGCUAGAGAAAAUAGGGGUUUUGCUUGUCAUAUCAGCUGAGGAGACCAGGCUAAAUGGAAUUGCAGCUAUAAGUGAGACCUGUUCUCAAGUGUCACAGUUAACAGAGCUGUUGACUGUAGAAUGGACUUUUGAGGUACCUGGUGUUGGUAUGACACAGUGAGGUGUGCCACAGGCUCUGUAUUGGAAACCACUUGCAUUCUCCACCUGGGCCUUGGAGUCAUUUUGGGCAAUCCUACACCAACAGUCUGUUCCUCUUUUCAUUGACACAGUACAGAAGUGUGGAAACUUGCCUGGGGGCUUAAUAUCUUCAUCAUGACAAAUUCCUUAGAAUAAAAUUGUAAGAAAGUAGGCAGCUGGAAUUUAGUACUGGAGAGAUGGUACUCAAGGGAAGAACAACUACAGCAUUUGUGCUUA
Long non-coding RNA from Gymnogyps californianus (California condor), 1444 nucleotides. RefSeq lists it as uncharacterized. NCBI's taxonomy places the organism in Eukaryota, Metazoa, Chordata, Aves, Accipitriformes, Cathartidae. The record is from RefSeq and is a predicted model, not a curated record. The transcript has 4 exons.